This 253-nucleotide ribosomal RNA is filed under the name uncultured bacterium. RNAcentral's name for it is "partial 16S ribosomal RNA". It matches the Rfam family "Bacterial small subunit ribosomal RNA", at positions 524 to 776 of the family's 1533-position model. The record is from RNAcentral.
UACAGAGGUCUCAAGCGUUGUUCGGAUUCAUUGGGCGUAAAGGGUGCGUAGGUGGUGAGGUAAGUCGGAUGUGAAAUCUCGGAGCUCAACUCCGAAAUGGCAUUGGAAACUACCUUGCUCGAGGGUUGGAGGGGGGACUGGAAUACUUGGUGUAGCAGUGAAAUGCGUAGAUAUCAAGUGGAACACCAGUGGCGAAGGCGAGUCCCUGGACAACUCCUGACACUGAGGCACGAAAGCUAGGGGAGCAAACAGG